This is a long non-coding RNA of Hypanus sabinus (Atlantic stingray), 2853 nucleotides long. RefSeq lists it as uncharacterized. The record is from RefSeq and is a predicted model, not a curated record. Lineage: Eukaryota; Metazoa; Chordata; Chondrichthyes; Myliobatiformes; Dasyatidae. The transcript is spliced from 7 exons.
AGAGGUGAACCCCGGGAACAAGAACUUUCGCAGACAAUAACAACAGCAGCAGCAGCGCACCAACCAUGCCCAUUGUACAAGGGGUACAGAUAAAAGACAAUCGCCCUUUCAAUCUGAUUGUCUAAGGAGAAAUAGAAGAGGAUCAUUCUUGUCAAGACAGCAGCAGGAAAAUUCCAAAUGCAGUUCAGCAAUCAUUUGGAAUCUGAAGUUCUGAUGAAGAAUCUUGAUCUGCAAGGUUGGUUCUCUCUCCCUCUCCACAGAAUGCUGCCUGAUUUGUAAAUGAAAUCAGCUCCAGCAGACAGGGCGAUUGAGAUCUACUGUGAGGUCCAACAACCAGGAAUGUGGUUCUGUAUCACUCCAUGGAGAGUGGAAGGGCAUGAUGAGGCAUAGGAGAAGUCAUGGAGUCAUGGUCAUCCACUGUAACCAAGGCAGACCCCCAGCUAUGAUGGCUACAUGUACCACUGGACCCGGACUUUCGAGGUCGUGAGAGUGGAACUGCUCCAGUGCAACAGCUUUUCUGCUUAAACACACUCCUGCACAGGUUUCCCUGACAUUGUCGGAUAUGAUGUUCAACCACCAUAAGUGAACAAAAUCGACGCAGACACCUCGUGUAGAUAAUGAACUGCCUUCAUACAACACUUUCAAUAACUGCAUCCUCCAAAUCUUCAUUUUCCUUAAAACAUUCAAGAUGAUAGUCACAACCUUCAAAUUCUCCAUAGUUCCUAACUAGUUGAAGUAGUUAAAUCAUUUCAUUUUCACUCUCAGCAUUUUUGGCAUCUCCAAGCCUGACUGCUUGAUCCCCGGAACUGAAGCUGGUAGGACAAACCUAACCAGAUGAAAGGAAGCAGAAGUUGGCACAAGCUGAGUCCACCUUAGUGAAAUCAUCUGAGAUUACCCAGAUUUAAUUCAAUAUGAAGAGAAUAAUGCAUUUUAUGGUGAUGGAAUUGACCAGGACUGGGGUCAUGAAAGGUUGUGCUUCUGAAACAUUACUGCCGAUGAACUUGUCAACAACAACGUCAUUAAAUGAAGACUAUUCGGUGAUCAAGAGAAACUUUUCUCAACGGUAAAUACGGGUACAUGUGGAAGAAAUGGAAGACUCAAAUUUGUAUUAUGCUGGGGUAGAUGGUUUGAUGUGUGUGGAUAAAACAUUAAGUAUUCCAUAGGGUACUGGGUAUUGUGAGGAUGAUAAAGGGAAGUUUUAUGUGGGUGAUAUCAGCUAUGAAUUAUACCAAAGGAUGGAAAGAGUGUCCUCUGGAAAGUCACAAUGUUGCACUUGAGGAGGUGACUUUAAAUUUGACUAUUGGAGGACAAACUUUGCCUCAACCAGCAGUGGAGAAGGUAGUGGAGGAAAGUCUUUCAAUCCAACGAACUGAUACGAAUCGAUAUUUGUGGGACUAUGUUGUAACUGAGUUGCCACAGAUUCCUCAUUUGACUGCAGACUGGACACGAGUGGUGGAGGAGGCAAAGGAAAUAAUUCAUCAGUGGGUUGAACUUUCAAAAGUUAUUAAGACACAUGCUGAGAAGGCAAGUGAAAUGUUGAGUGACUUAGACUUUUGGGGCAAAUUUUGGAAUUGGGGAUCAAAUGUUCAAAUACAUCCAUGGGUGAGAAUAAUCUCACAUGUUGCAGUAAUAUUAAUUUUUGUACGCUGAUGAUUGCAUAUUUUAAUGUGUAUCAACUCAGAAGAUGGAAGGCUGAAAUUAUGCAAAAGGUAGAGGGGAAUGAUCUUGCACUACUGAAAAAAUGAUGGCCAGUAUAAAAAUUGUAUGAAUUUAGUAAGUAAAAGUUAUAAUGUAAGAGCAGCACAACUGCUGGGGAUCCAUGGCAAUCCAGUGGAUGGUCAAUAGAAUAGAGGAGGAUAGUGAUCCUAAGAUAAAUCUUUGGAUCAAGAGGAGGGAUAUGUUGGCCAGAAAGAAUGACAAUCUUCAAAUCAGUGAAUUCAAAUGAAUCAAGGACAGUGGAAGCAGUCUUUGUUCUUGUCAUUUGUUUGAGGGAUGGAGGCUGCCAUUUUGUGAAGACACUGUGGUGAACUAUGUGCCUGUCUGGACACGCCCCCUGCUGACUGCUCCUGUGGCUCCUCCCACAGGCCCCUGUAUAAAGGCGAUCUGAGGCCUGAUGCUCGGCCUCAGUCUCCAGGACAUGGUAUGAUGGACACUCACUCCUGGUUCCUUCUUCCAGUCAAUAAAAGCCGAUAUCUCGCCUUUCGUCUCAGUGUGAGUUAUUGAUGGUGCAUCAGACACUCGAUUCUCCAUUUUGCGAGCUUGACAUGCUGGACUUGAUUAGUGUUUUAAAGAAGAUACAAAGACUUCAGGUAAUUUGCUGGACUGGAGGUCAUUUCCAAAUAAGGAGUUGUUUGUGAGGUGUUCUUUGGUCGGCUAUAACAUGCAGGAUUGUGAAUGCCUGAGGCAAUUCAAGCUCAUUGCUGACUGAGAACAAAGAGCCAUGAGUCAGCAACUGUCCCUUGAUGGGGAGAGGACAAUAGAUGGAUGCUGCUUUGGACCAGAGCCAAUGACUAGGUGUUAAAGGCCGGACACAUGACCUGUGGCCAAUGAAGCGGGAAUGCGACAUUUGAAUUGAUAAGCAAUGGAUAUAAAAGUGGAUGCUUUGUGGGUGCUGGUGGCGGUAACUUUGAAGAAUAACCAUCGCAGACACAAGCGAGAAGAACCCUGCAUGAACAUGUGGAGAGUGAGUCGGGACCAUGAGGAACAAGGAGCGCCUGGCCAGCGUAAAUUCCUCUGCCCGGGUAAUACCUUUGCUAUUCUUUGACUAUCCAGGAGAGUCAGGGGUAUUUAGCAGGUGUGUGCACAAGGUAUUUAAUGUAUGAAUUCAUGUAUUUGUUAGUUUGAACAAUAAAG